GUGAGGAAUAUUGGACAAUGGGCGCAAGCCUGAUCCAGCCAUGCCGCGUGCAGGAAGACGCAUCUAUGGUGUGUAAACUGCUUUUGUACGGGAAGAAACACUCCCUCGUGAGGGAGCUUGACGGUACCGUAAGAAUAAGGAUCGGCUAACUCCGUGCCAGCAGCCGCGGUAAUACGGAGGAUCCAAGCGUUAUCCGGAAUCAUUGGGUUUAAAGGGUCCGUAGGCGGUUUAAUAAGUCAGUGGUGAAAGCCCAUCGCUCAACGAUGGAACGGCCAUUGAUACUGUUAGACUUAAAUUACAAGGAAGUAACUAGAAUAUGUAGUGUAGCGGUGAAAUGCUUAGAUAUUACAUGGAAUACCAAUUGCGAAGGCAGGUUACUACUUGUGGAUUGACGCUGAUGGACGAAAGCGUGGGGAGCGAACAGGAUUAGAAACCCGAGUAGUCC
This 445-nucleotide ribosomal RNA is filed under the name uncultured bacterium. RNAcentral describes it as "partial 16S ribosomal RNA". It matches the Rfam family "Bacterial small subunit ribosomal RNA", at positions 354 to 796 of the family's 1533-position model. The record is from RNAcentral.